CCGCGGCCAGGGCCCGGCCCCUCCCUCCGCACUAGUUUCCCGGGCAAGUUCGGAGCGGGUGGCCGGCUAGGCGAGCCCUCUUCGGGUUCCUCCUUCUCUUCCUUCGUGUCCCUGCGGCCUCUCAGGCCCUCGGGACACUCUAGGAGGCCGAUCUGCAGGGUGGGCACGCCCUAAAUCCACGCCAAGUCACCCACGCAUUCCUUCUGCCACCCUCUCUUGGAUCCGAAGGGGCGAAAGGGAAUCUCUGCACGUCACUCCCCACCCCUUAUCCACCUCGGGACCUGGAGGGAGG
Molecule: long non-coding RNA, 292 nt
Filed under: Homo sapiens (human)
Lineage: Eukaryota; Metazoa; Chordata; Mammalia; Primates; Hominidae
Description: HSALNT0052668
Source: RNAcentral